AGCGAACGCUGGCGGCAGGCCUAACACAUGCAAGUCGAACGGCUCUUCGGAGCAGUGGCGGACGGGUGAGUAACGCGUGGGAACGUGCCCUUUGGUACGGAACAACUGAGGGAAACUUCAGCUAAUACCGUAUGUGCCCCUCUUCUUAGCGGAAGGGGUGGGAAAGAUUUAUCGCCGAUGGAGGGGCCCGCGUCAGAUUAGGUAGUUGGUGGGGUAAUGGCCUACCAAGCCUACGAUCUGUAGCUGGUCUGAGAGGAUGAUCAGCCACACUGGGACUGAGAUACGGCCCAGACUCCUACGGGAGGCAGCAGUGGGGAAUCUUGGUCAAUGGGCGCAAGCCUGAACCAGCGAUGCCGCGUGAGUGAUGAAGGCC
Molecule: ribosomal RNA, 373 nt
Filed under: uncultured bacterium
Lineage: Bacteria
Description: bacterial SSU rRNA
Rfam family: Bacterial small subunit ribosomal RNA
Source: RNAcentral